Phacochoerus africanus (Common warthog) is the source of this 5724-nucleotide long non-coding RNA. RefSeq lists it as uncharacterized. The record is from RefSeq and is a predicted model, not a curated record. NCBI's taxonomy places the organism in Eukaryota, Metazoa, Chordata, Mammalia, Artiodactyla, Suidae. The transcript is spliced from 6 exons.
UCCCAGGCCAGGGAUCAAAUCUGAGCUGAAUCUGUGACCUACGCCACAGCUGCAGCAACACUGUAUCCUUAACCCAUGGUGCCACAGAGGGAACUCCUAUUCCUAAAAAUUUUAACAGUGAUUUCCUAAUAUCAUCCAGCAAGUGUGUAUGUUUCUCCAUUCUGUAUUUCUCAUAUGUAAUUUGCAGUUGUAUCUAGUGGGCGGGUGAGACACAUUUGAUUUUUUACUAUUUCCCUUUCCACACUCAGAAUUCUUUGAUGCCACUUGCUAAGAGCAGCCCACAUACGAGGAGGAAGAGGGGAAGUCCAGAGAGUCAUUUUGAAGUCAAAUAAUUUUUUUUUCCCUGCUAAUCAUCUUGGGUUUGGUAAAGAGUCAAAGGUGGAAGAAAGGACUCAGAGCUGAGUAGAUAUUCCAGGAGAAUAUAAGGCAAAAAAAAAAAAGAGUUCCUUUGGCUGAGGAGCUGUGAUGACUAAUCUAUAAUUUUAGGUUGCUUAUUUCUGGGUUAUAAUUUGUAACUUUGAGUGAAAUUUAUUAAAUUCCUACUGCCUAGCGUCAACAUUAGUUGGCAAAGCAGAAUUGAGAAAAGUGAGCAGUGGUUUUCAGAGAGCAGCUGUAGAACGGCAGUCACCAGUGAAAGGCAACAAGUGGCAACAACCAAAACAUAGGAGCCCCUUGUGGGCAUCCUCAGGCAUUCAGGAGGGAUGUGAAUUUCCUCUCCUAAAACAAGAAGCUUGAUUUCUUUUCAUUAGAUCAUAAAGAAAAAGGUGACCCCAGAAGGCUGGAGUUCUGGGGUUGCUCAUGAUGUAUAUAUUUUCAUAAAGCAAAAUGGCUAUAACAUGAUGAAUCAAUUAGGGAUUAUAGUGUGAAAUGAUCUUAUCACAGGGACCUCUGUUUGUUAUAAAGUGAUAGUGUUUUGGAAUAUAACAUAGACUCUGAUAGGAAAGUAGCUGCUAAGUAACUCACAGGAUCGCUCUUUAUUUGAAUGGCUGUCCACUUAGGUUUUUUAAAUAAAAUGUAAUUUUUUAUUGCUCUUUGUUUACUUUUAGUGGUAGUGAAUUGCUACCAAAACUGCUAGUUCAAGACCAGUAGUAAUAAAGAAUUUUACGAAGUUCAUGAAUUUAUGUAUUUAAAGGCUUAGGAGUUUUGUUUUUUUCUCAGAUUUUAUACAUUUUUUUUUACUUUGUUUUUUGGUUCCCACAUUUACUGAAAUGAAUUAAAUUCCACCCAUUCCACUUACUGAAUUCUACCCCUCAGUUAAUUCACACUGAACAUUAUUAUUGGUCCCUGCCAGCACCCGUUUAUUUUAUGUAGUAGCGUCCUCAUUUCUACUCCAUUUCUGCCCCCUCAUUGCUGUUCUAUUGCAUGUAUGUUCCUCCAUUCUGCCAUUUUUAUUCUCAUGUACAUCAUAUUGUAUAUAUAUGUGUUUUACUUGAUAUAAGUGGUAUUAUGAUCGAAUUCUCAUUUUAAAUCCCUUUUUUAUGCCAUACUCUGUUUAUGACGCUAUGCAUAUCACUCAGUGGAUAUUUAGCUUACUAAAUCUCUUAAAAAUAUUUCCUUACAUGCACAUUCCUCACUUUACUUUUUGGUACCACCACCAAUAUUUACCAUGAAUCUCUUGAUAUAUUUGUUCUUCUGGGCCUUGGCAAGAGUUUCUCUGCAGUCUACAGCCAGAAGUAGGAUUUCUGGGUCAUUGGAUAUUCCUGCACUUAAUUUCUCUAAGCACUGGCAACAUUUUUUCCAUAAUGGCUGCAACAGUUUUGUGACCAGAAAUACAAAAUUACCAUUUCCUAGAUUUUGUCAGUAAUUGGAGUUACGUGAAUUUAUAAUUUUGCCAUUUUUAUGUGUAUAAAAUAGUAUUUCCUUAUUUAAUUUGCAUUCCUCUGACUAUGACCGGGUUUGAGCAUGUCUCACACGUGUUGCAGUUUGGUUUUCUUCUUUUGUAAGUUGCUUAUUCAUAGCCUUUGUCCAUUUUUCUGUGGGAUUUUUUUGUCUUCAUGAUUUUUAUUUCAAUUAUUUACACCCAAUGCGUUAUCCAUCUGCUGACAUUGUGUGUGGUGACUUUCUUUAAACAGGGACCUUUGAUUUUAUUUUUAUAACGUCUGUCACUUUUCCUCCUUAAGGUUUGUUCUUUGAGAAUAUUGUGUAAGAAAUCGUUUUCUCCGUCAAGAUCAUGAAGACAUUCUCCUAUAUAACCUUUAAUUAGCUUUAUGUUUUAAUUUUGCUUUUUAUGUUUUGGUUUCUAAUACAUCUGGAGUCCACAUCUGGAGACUGUGUGAGUGUCAUUUUAGAUUACCCCUGGCAAUGUAUGGGAAUGCCCAUUCCUUGUCCUGUGGGAGAAGAUCAUUUGGCAGAGGUAAUGCAGCCCAGAUUGCAGAAUCAAGUUGCAGGUUGAAGAAUGUGAGUGCCAAUCCUCUCCAAUUCUGUAAGUCAGUGAAUAUCACAUCUAUUCAGACAGCUUCCUGAUAUUAGAUCAUUCUGAAAUAUAACCUUCCUUACGAUGCAACAGUGACCUCACAUUCAGGCAUGUCAAGAAAAUAUGACCUUCUGACUUCUUAACAAAAUUUUAUCCCAAGUGACUUGGUAAAAACACUGCGCACACCUUAUUAAACAAUCCAAGGGAAAAUGUCUCUUCUAUCUGUAGUGGAAGAAUCACAUUGACAUUUGGCAAAGGUCAGAGCUUCAGAAAUGUAACUUAGUAAUAAACUGCUAGUAUUUUUAUAUUGUGGUGGUAAAAGAAAACUGCAGGAUUUUUUUUUUUUUUGACAUGUUUAAUUCUUACCAAGAACUUCCUAAGCACAUUGUUUUUCUACUGAAACUCAGCCUGUUCCACAUUUUUGACAGAAAAGCUAAGUCUUUCCUUUUGAAAAAUAAGAGUUUUUUUUUUUUUUCUCAAAGAUCUAUGUAUGCUAGAGGUCUAGGAAAUUUAUAAGCUUUGGCACAGGCUUCCUCACAUUCACAAAACUGACUUAAGAUGACCCUGAAAUAGAACAAAUCCAAAAGAGCUCUGGAAAUAGGGAAGAAAACCAUCUAUAUGCCUCAAUACUAGAGACUAUUUACUAACUAUAAUAUAGGAGGAACUAUGUUGAAAGAAAUCAUUAGAACUGGCCUAUAAUAUUGCUUUUUAAAUCAGUAGAAUCACAUGAAAUGACAAGGGAGAUUAUGGGAGAUUCCCCACUGAUAGCCCUUAUUUCGAGGGGUGAGAGCUAGAGGUGAGGGGAUGGCGUUGGGACAAAAGGUAAAACUUCCGUGAUAUGAAUCAACAGCGUCUAAAGCAGUUAAUACAAAGGGCCCCAGGAGAAAUAUGGCCACAUCAAGAAGCAGUAUGUGAGCAAUGGGGCUUCUUUCUGAUACGGCUGGGCUUUUCCAUGGCAUGGUAGCUGUGGCCUUAAGAAGAAGAAAGGCCACAGCCAAAGCCACAGUACAAUCAUUUAACAAAUACUUACACAGCCUUUAUUGUAUUCCAGGCAUUGUUUUAUAUUAGUGGUUCUCAGUUGGGGUGAUUUUGCCCCCCCCUUGGGACAUUUGGAAACCUCCCGGGAUAUUUUUGGUUGUCACAACUGGGAAGAAGCUGCUGCUAACAUCUGGUUUGUGGAGACCGAGGAUUCUACCAAACAUGCUAAAAUGCACAGGACCACCCUCACGGCAGAGAAUUAUCAGGCCUGAAAUGUACCUGGAUGUUAGAAGAGGAAAAUCUUUUUUACCUGUUGUGGUCACUGGGCUAGAAGGAAGUGAAUCUGGAUGAGUGGGCAGUCGCUUUCCUUGCUGCAUGGUGAGGGGCUUCUCUGAAGAAAGAAGGCGGACUAUAACCAGAAGCCAAUUUGAGAGCUGGAGAGAGAUGAGCUCCAUGACCCUCUGGUGUGUGAAUGGAGAUGAGCAGAAAGAGUCAGAACCUUCGCCCUGUAUUGUGCAGAGAACUUGGGUGUCUAACCCUUGAUACCAAGUGAAUUCCCAGCUUACUGAGGGAGAGGUGGAAGCAUCCAUCACACUGUGGCAGAAGACUGAAAACUACUUCUUGUAUGCUGGCAGGUAUCAGAAGCAUCAGCUGAAUAUUUCUUCUACCUCGGCACGUGGAGGAAGGUAGCACGGAUACUGUAAGAACAUCCACGCACAGGUUUCAGCUGAAAGACACACUGAAGAAUCUCAGUUUGUGCUCAUUAGCAAGUGGCGGUUGCCUGCCUGCUCCUUCUACACCCAUUUCUCCUGUACCGGCACUGUUGGUCUGCAAGGCUCAGGGGAUACAGAGAUGAAAAAAUAUCUCCUGUUCUCAAGUAGCCCACAGCCCACUGUGAAUCCAAAUAUGAAAUUCAGGACUGGACAGACUUUUCACCAUUGACUCUGAAGUGAGGAAAGCAGCCCUUAGCUCUGGAACAAGGCAGGUAACUGACCAGGGACACUCAAGAUGCUGGCCUUGUCAAAACUGUGAUUUAACCAAUUGAAUUAAGCAGCUAGUGCUGUCUCUGAAGUGUAGGUAUUACCUAAGUACUCAUGAAAGGAUCUCAGUAACUCCCAGGAAAUCUCGAAAAUAAGAGUCCACGUGUCCUGAUUAUUUGGGAUUUUUGAGCAUUUUCCAUUAGUUGUAACUGUAUUUUGAAUAUUUACAACCUUUCUGCUCCUCUCUGUCCUUUCUACAUAGCAGAAAAUUAUGUUCCUUUAGUUAUUCACCUCUGUUAUGAAAGCAGGUGCAAGAUUCUUAGCUAAUAAAUCUACAACUACAAAGAUCUUGCACAAGCCCCUUCCCCACAAUGCACACCGAGUAUUGUCGUGUUGGCCUUCCCAGGCCUUCCAACAUUGUGUUUUGUAUCUGAGCACUACUAAAGCUUGGGUUGUCCAACACUCCUCUACAAGUGUGUCACUUCUUUCUCUCCCUCUUUUUUUUUUUUGGCCACACCCACAGCAUGCAGAUGUUCCUGGGCCAGGGAUUGAACCCAAGCCACAACAGUGACCUGAACCUCAGCAGUGACAACACUGAGCCCUUAACCACUUGGUCACCAGGGAACUCCACUGUGUUACUUCUUAAGAAGUUUCUCUCCAGUGGUAGGUGCGGUUAUCUUACGAUAUCUGAGCAUGUGUACUUCACAAGGCUUUUUCAGCGUUCUUUCUUGGGCUCCAAACCCAUUCCCAAAUCUGGUCGUUAGUUGUAAUUCUGCAUCAUUAGAUUACAAGUUAGGUUCCUCUCCCUGUUCCCAGUGUCCAGCUACCAGUAAUUUCACUCCUCCCUCUAGUUCAUCUUUUCUUUCAGAGUUUCUAUUCAUAAAACCUUGCUGAACUUUAUGUUCUGUUAAAUUUUUUCAUUUUUUUCUUUCAUUUCCCACUACUGUAAUCUGUGUAUUCCCCAUGUUUUCUAAUAGUUAUAAAAGCAAGAGGAAGAUUUACGUUUUAAGUAGGUUUGUUAAAAUACUUGAAAAAUCAUUCAAGAAGUAGAAACUGGUGUGUCUUGAGCCACACUGCCUUGAUUCAAAGCCCAGUUCUGCUGAUUGGGUUAGUCAUUUAACGUUCUUUAAACAUCUGAAGAGUGAGUGCCAUAGUGGUACACAGGUUGUAUCGAGAGGGUUCUGCCAUUGGAUUCAGAUCUUCAGUGUCACUUAUUUGCUGUCUAAUCUUGGUCACAUUUACUUAACCUUUCUAAAUUGCAGCUUGCUUCUCCGUAGUUCAAAAACAAUGAUAGCACCUGCUUCUUGAGAUUAUUGUAUGGAAUGAGACAUGAAUAUAAAGCCUUUUUUUUUU